Molecule: ribosomal RNA, 441 nt
Filed under: uncultured bacterium
Lineage: Bacteria
Description: partial 16S ribosomal RNA
Rfam family: Bacterial small subunit ribosomal RNA
Source: RNAcentral
CCUACGGGGGGCUGCAGUUAGGAAUCUUGCGCAAUGGGCGAAAGCCUGACGCAGCAACGCCGCGUGGGGGAAGAAGGCCUUCGGGUUGUAAACCCCUUUCAGUGGGGACGAAAAUGACGGUACCCACAGAAGAAGCCCCGGCCAACUACGUGCCAGCAGCCGCGGUGACACGUAGGGGGCAAGCGUUGUCCGGAUUUAUUGGGCGUAAAGGGCUCGUAGGCGGUUCGGCAAGUCGGGUGUGAAACCUCCAGGCUCACCCUGGAGCCGCCACCCGAAACUGCUGUGACUUGAGUCCGGUAGGGGAGCAUGGAAUUCCUGGUGUAGCGGUGGAAUGCGCAGAUAUCAGGAGGAACACCAGUGGCGAAGGCGAUGCUCUGGGCCGGUACUGACGCUGAGGAGCGAAAGCAUGGGGAGCGAACAGGAUUAGAUACCCUGGUAGUC